Molecule: transfer RNA, 72 nt
Filed under: Camelus bactrianus (Bactrian camel)
Lineage: Eukaryota; Metazoa; Chordata; Mammalia; Artiodactyla; Camelidae
Also listed under: 1 other name
Rfam family: tRNA
About the family: Transfer RNA (tRNA) molecules are approximately 80 nucleotides in length. Their secondary structure includes four short double-helical elements and three loops (D, anti-codon, and T loops). Further hydrogen bonds mediate the characteristic L-shaped molecular structure. tRNAs have two regions of fundamental functional importance: the anti-codon, which is responsible for specific mRNA codon recognition, and the 3' end, to which the tRNAs corresponding amino acid is attached (by aminoacyl-tRNA synthetases). tRNAs cope with the degeneracy of the genetic code in two manners: having more than one tRNA (with a specific anti-codon) for a particular amino acid; and 'wobble' base-pairing, i.e. permitting non-standard base-pairing at the 3rd anti-codon position.
Source: Rfam by way of RNAcentral
GUUGGUAUAGCUCAGUGGUAGAACACGUGCUUAGUAUGCACGACAUCCUGGGUUCAAUGCCUAGUACCUCCA